This 684-nucleotide long non-coding RNA is filed under the name Chloebia gouldiae (Gouldian finch). Its description in RNAcentral is "Erythrura gouldiae (Gouldian finch) lncRNA (ENSEGOG00005012910.1)". The record is from RNAcentral. Lineage: Eukaryota; Metazoa; Chordata; Aves; Passeriformes; Passeridae.
CGGGAGGUUGCCAGGCUCGCUGGAAUGCAUCUGAAGUCAUCUUCGGGGGACACGCCUCAGCCGCCGCCCGGGUGAUCCCUGGGCGGGCCGGCGGGAGCGGCUCCCGGGCUGCGGGAGCCGGGCAGAUCCCACCUGCUCAGGGCGGCUGUGGAGCAGCGUGAGGCCAGGGAAAAGGGACCGACAGAGAGCACCUCGGCCCUGGGCGCUGCCCUGCCGGGAGGAGAGCAGAGACAUGUGCGGACCUUGGCAGGGGAGGGUCCCAGCUCUGCCUCUGCUCCUGCCUCGCCGCAGCUGACCUCGGUGCAGUGCCCUGACUCUUGGCACGGCUGCCCUGCUCCGUCAAGUGAUGCUGGGCUGAAGGACAUCCGUACUGCCAUUGUCUCUGCUUCCUUUGGACGGGCCCGUGGGGUUGUGCAACUCUGAGUUUGUGCAGUGUGCACCUGGAUGAUGAGUUGCUGUAGGAUGGCAGAGCAGAAGGAAAGCACAUCAUCUAACCACCCUGAUUCUCCCCUGCUGCUGCUUGGCAUCCACACGUACUGUGAAUUGCAAGAGAAAAGCAAGACCUGGAAGCAAUCUGCUGAGGGUUUCAGAUUCUCUGUUCCUCUCUUCCAGCCCAUUAGGUCAGAAAGAGAAUGGCUAUCAACAAGUGUUUCAUCUGGAAAUGUAGCCCUGGGAUUUCCCUAG